UACGGAGGGAGCAAGCGUUACUCGGAAUUACUGGGCGUAAAGGGCGCGUAGGCGGUUCGAUAAGUCAGCUGUGAAAACCAUGGGCUUAACUCAUGGCCUGCAGUUGAGACUGUCGGGCUGGAGUGUGGGAGAGGAGAGUGGAAUUCCUGGUGUAGCGGUGAAAUGCGUAGAUAUCAGGAGGAACACCGGUGGCGAAGGCGGCUCUCUGGACCACAACUGACGCUGAGGCGCGAAAGCUAGGGGAGCAAACAGG
Molecule: ribosomal RNA, 253 nt
Filed under: uncultured bacterium
Lineage: Bacteria
Description: partial 16S ribosomal RNA
Rfam family: Bacterial small subunit ribosomal RNA
Source: RNAcentral